RNAcentral lists this ribosomal RNA (465 nucleotides) under uncultured bacterium. Its description in RNAcentral is "partial 16S ribosomal RNA". It matches the Rfam family "Bacterial small subunit ribosomal RNA", at positions 338 to 795 of the family's 1533-position model. The record is from RNAcentral.
CCUACGGGAGGCAGCAGUGGGGAAUAUUGCACAAUGGGCGCAAGCCUGAUGCAGCCAUGCCGCGUGUAUGAAGAAGGCCUUCGGGUUGUAAAGUACUUUCAGCGGGGAGGAAGGGAGUAAGGUUAAUAACCUUAUUCAUUGACGUUACCCGCAGAAGAAACACCGGCUAACUCCGUGCCAGCAGCCGCGGUAAUACGGAGGGUGCAAGCGUUAAUCGGAAUUACUGGGCGUAAAGCGCACGCAGGCGGUCUGUCAAGUCGGAUGUGAAAUCCCCGGGCUCAACCUGGGAACUGCAUUCGAAACUGGCAAACUGGAGUGUGUGAGAGGAUAGUGGAAUUCCAGGUGUAGGAGUGAAAUCCGUAGAUAUCUGGAGGAACAUCAGUGGCGAAGGCGACUAUCUGGCACAUAACUGACGCUGAGGAGCGAAAGCGUGGGUAGCAAACAGGAUUAGAUACCCGAGUAGUC